This 686-nucleotide long non-coding RNA is filed under the name Sus scrofa (pig). RNAcentral describes it as "lncRNA (ENSSSCG00070013226.1)". The record is from RNAcentral. Lineage: Eukaryota; Metazoa; Chordata; Mammalia; Artiodactyla; Suidae.
CGACGCGGUCCGGGAGCGCACCCGCCGGUGACUUCUGCAUCUUGGUCUCCAGUCCCAGCCGCGAGGGAAGUUCCUGGGGCCGGCCGGGCGUAAGGAUGCCUCACCCGCUGCUUGGUGCACAGAUGCCAGCCUGUGGUUAUUGGAACCUGUCUGCCAGACCAAAGGGAGGAAAUCUGCCAGACAAGAUGUGGAACCUAAAAGCGGAACGUCACUAACUGCUGUGGGCAUCUCUGCCACUUCAUGACCCGUGGACUUUUGGGGAAGUAUUUUUGUGGCUCACCAGUCUCUCAUUAGGCAAGGGCCAGUUCUCCUGGGCUGGCCUUCUCUACUGGUGGAAAGUACAGCUGGGAGAUUUGGAAUGGUUGCUGUUUGACUCUGAUUCUUGGCCAUGAGCUUUUUUGGAUUGCUUCAUGGUCAAAAGAUGGCUGCUAGAGAUCCAGUUUUCAUGUCUCAAACAGGAAGAAGAAGAAAGCACUAAAUGCCAACAGAGUCUAAGACCAGAUUAUACCCUCUUUGAACUGAUUUCCUGGAAGCCCCACACCAAGCUCCGGAGGGACGGACAGGCUGACCAGAAGCACAAGAUGCAGAUAACUGCUGCUGAGACCUGUAGAGUGAGCCAGGGUGAUGACAAGGCAGUGAUGCUGAUGAUGGAGAGAGCUAACGGCUGCUGGGAACAUUCUACAUGA